This 1828-nucleotide long non-coding RNA is filed under the name Androctonus crassicauda. Lineage: Eukaryota; Metazoa; Arthropoda; Arachnida; Scorpiones; Buthidae. The record is from RNAcentral.
CUUGUGACAUGUUGAUUCGUAAGUUGUGCCAAGUACUUUUGAUUUGAUAAAUUUCAUAGACGAGUAUAAGAUACAUGAGUAUAUUGAAUCGAAAAUCGAAAUAGUGUAAGCAAGCUAUUUUUCUUAAGUUAGGAUACUUUGAAACAACUUUCCAAAAUUCCGUUGGAGAUGUAAAUUGAGAAAAUAGUAAAUGAAGUAGUAGAAAAAUUGUAAAACUACUGGAUUCAGCGUUUUCAGACGAAAAGGGACGUUGAAUAAAAUUUACUGAGGACAGAGCGAAUAGAAAUUUUAAAUUGUGUAUUAUGUGAUGCUGCGGUUACAGUUGAAAUAGAAAAUUGAAGAUAGUGUCAUCAACUAUAUUGCGAUCUCAUUAAAUUAUGGAUUUGUUUUAUAUUAAAAAAGAAUAUAUUUCUUAACUAUUGACUUUUGAUGACACAGAGACGCAAUUUGGGAAUGGUGGAUCUAUACAGUUAAAUUGUUAUACAGUAUAUAAUUGAAUUGUUAUAAAAACCUUCAUGAUACCGGCAAGAGCUGCUCGUUAUAAACAUUAUUCGUUAUAAACAUUAUUCGUUAUAUCCGAAAACAUAAAAAUGUCCAGUUGAAUAGUGAUUUUGCAUAUACCGUUUUGUGUGCCAAUAUCGUAUUUUGCGCACUUAAUUUUUAUCUUUUUAUUAUAUUUUUUAAAGUUUACUGUAGUGGUUCUUAGUCUUUUUGGCGUCGUGGAACACGGAUUAUAAAAAGUUCUUGCGGAACACCAAAAUCAUUAUCGUUUAUGACGAUGACUCAGUCUUCUAAGUAAAAAUUAAAAUAUGCGUGCAUUUAUAGAACAUAGGUUGCAUUUUAUUAAAAAUUAUAUAAACAUAAUAUGCCUAAUUUAUAUGUAUUUGAAAAUUUCACAGAACAUCUGUGAUGAGUUUGCCGAAUAUCGGUUAAGAAAGAACCAUUGUCCUGUAUUAUGAAAAGGAUAAAUUAUGUGUAAUUUUAAUAUGACGAUUUUAUAAUUAUUGGCUGAAAUAUAAUAUAAGAAAAUAAAAAGAUGAUGAUAAAAAUUAUAAAUCGUCAUAUAAUUGAAUAUAUGCAUGCGCAUAUACUAUGUAUGUAUAUGCACGUAUCAUUCCAUAUCUAUGGCACAUUUAUACAUAAAAUCGGUAAGAAGACAGCGGACUUGGACGUAGACGGGCAUUAUUAUGCAAUGAUAUUUAUUGAAAGAAAAAUAAGACAAAUUAAAUCGAAAAAUUUAUCCAGGUUAAUAGGAUGGAUUUUCAGUAGUAAUCUUAAUUUUUAUUUCAUAUAGUUUAUAAAUUUCACUUUCAUAUACACACGCAAAAUAGUAUGCGUAAAUAAAUUUAAAUAUUAAAAUGCCAAUAGUUAUGAAGGUUACGGCAGUGAUUAAGCCAAAAACAGUAGUAACUAUCUCUUACUACUGGAGUCAUUAUGGCCAAAAUUCAACUUUAUUACUUUGGCCUUAAUAUAAAUAAUAAUCUGACAAUUAUAUUCGAGAAAAGCAUUCAAUAAAUAGGACACCGAUUGCUGAUUGAAGCUUCAGAUCUAAUUAAUAAAACAACUAGAGCAAUUUAAAAAUUGCAAAAAACAUUGUUUUUCUUCUCUUUCGCAAACAUUUCUACAGUUCACUGUUCAACCGCUAUCGAUGAAAUGUAGAUAAUGGAUAUUUUUAGAUUACUUGGUCCCUGAAAAAUUCAUCACAAUCGGGUCAAAAAUAAAUAUGGAAAUGGGAGUUUUUUUCCAUAAUCUCCUCUAUAUAUCGCAUUGUAUUUAAUCGCCUUUGACCAAAUUUUAAACAUAGGUAUAGCUUAAUCAUUUAAAAUCA